RNAcentral lists this ribosomal RNA (253 nucleotides) under uncultured bacterium. RNAcentral describes it as "partial 16S ribosomal RNA". It matches the Rfam family "Bacterial small subunit ribosomal RNA", at positions 524 to 776 of the family's 1533-position model. The record is from RNAcentral.
UACAGGGGGUGCAAACGUUGCUCGGAAUUAUUGGGCGUAAAGCGCGCGUAGGCGGCUACUUAAGUCGGAUGUGAAAGCCCCUGGCUCAACUGGGGAAGUGCACCCGAAACUGAGUGGCUUGAGUGCGAAAGAGGGUCGCGGAAUUCCCGGUGUAGAGGUGAAAUGCGUAGAUAUCUGGAGGAACACCGGUGGCGAAGGCGGCAUCCUGGACCGGCAUUGACGCUGAGGCGCGAAAGCCAGGGGAGCAAACGGG